UGGGGAAUAUUGGACAAUGGGCGAAAGCCUGACGCAGCCAUGCCGCGUGAAUGAUGAAGGUCUUAGGAUUGUAAAAUUCUUUCACCGGGGACGAUAAUGACGGUACCCGGAGAAGAAGCCCCGGCUAACUUCGUGCCAGCAGCCGCGGUAAUACGAAGGGGGCUAGCGUUGCUCGGAAUUACUGGGCGUAAAGGGCGCGUAGGCGGUGUGUCAAGUCAGUUGUGAAAUCUCCGAGCUUAACUCGGAACGGUCAACUGAUACUGUCACACUAGAGUACAGAAGGGGCAAUCGGAAUUCUUGGUGUAGCGGUGAAAUGCGUAGAUAUCAAGAGGAACACCUGAGGCGAAGGCGGUUGCUGGGCUGAUACUGACGCUGAGGCGCGAAAGCUAGGGUAGCAAACGGGAUUAGAUACCCGGGUAGUCCCUGAGCGGGCUGGCAAGGCGCAU
Molecule: ribosomal RNA, 446 nt
Filed under: uncultured bacterium
Lineage: Bacteria
Description: bacterial SSU rRNA
Rfam family: Bacterial small subunit ribosomal RNA
Source: RNAcentral